RNAcentral lists this long non-coding RNA (871 nucleotides) under Cricetulus griseus (Chinese hamster). RNAcentral's name for it is "lncRNA (ENSCGRG00015042689.1)". Lineage: Eukaryota; Metazoa; Chordata; Mammalia; Rodentia; Cricetidae. The record is from RNAcentral.
UGGUUUUAUUUUCAAAAUGUUUCAGAAGUUAUUCUACUAUAAAGGAACAUGGCUGAACAGUUAGGAGACUGACCCUCCUUUGUGGGUUCUCCUGAUAGCUUCUGCAAGGAUCAUGGAGAUGUCAGACACCUGUAUUUUGGAGCAAUGCUUCAACUCAUCCUACUGAGGUACAGUAUUGGUGACUAUAUAUAAUUGGUGACUGCUUCAAAGCAUGCGUUGUUGAUGCAAGAAAUGACUGGGUCAGAAAAGAUUCCAUGAGUCAAGAUAGCAUAAACUUUGGCAGCUCCAGCUGAGAGAAGUUUGUCAGCAGCAAGACAGAUUGUACCCCAAGUGUCAGCCAUGUCAUCCACAAGUAUGGCCACCCGAUCCUUCAUAUCUCCUACUAGCACCCUGUGAUCCACUUCGUUGGCCUUCUUCCAUUCCCUUGUGAGUCAAGGCAAAAUCCACAUUCAAUCGGUCUGCAAUGGAGUCACUCUUGGCUCCACCAGCAUCAGGUCUCCUGGUUGCUGAAUUUCUUAGUCACCACCUUGCCUAGCUCCAGGCUUAGGCGGUCAGCAGUUUUCUGGGAUAAGUCCUGUUGGGAUAUCCUGCUGAAGAUUUUGAUGUUAGGCAUCUUGGGCAACUACACAAAUGCGCCCUUCGCUCAGUGGUCAUCGCUGGUGCAGAGAUUGGAUCCGAAGUAAGCUGGUAGCCUAUACACCUACAGCACCGCUGCUGCUCAGCCAUCUUACAUUCUUGGAGCACACAGCUCUAAAUCACACACUGAGCACCAAGCGAGGAGGCGGGAUCACAGAUCACAAAGAUGGUCCUUUACUUUGAAACAAAACAAAACAAAACAAAACAAAACAACAACAACAAAGGAGCCGAGAGA